Molecule: ribosomal RNA, 23 nt
Filed under: Nephroma helveticum
Lineage: Eukaryota; Fungi; Ascomycota; Lecanoromycetes; Peltigerales; Nephromataceae
Description: partial 28S ribosomal RNA
Source: RNAcentral
AUUGACCUCAAAUCAGGUAGGGA